This is a transfer RNA of Phialocephala subalpina, 96 nucleotides long. It matches the Rfam family "tRNA". Rfam says of the family: Transfer RNA (tRNA) molecules are approximately 80 nucleotides in length. NCBI's taxonomy places the organism in Eukaryota, Fungi, Ascomycota, Leotiomycetes, Helotiales, Mollisiaceae. The record is from Rfam.
GGUGGUGUGGUGUAAUGGUAGCACGUCAGAUUGUGGCCGACUACAAUCCUCUACAACAGAUCUCUGUCAAUCUGGGUUCGAUUCCCAGCACCGCCA